This is a long non-coding RNA of Xiphias gladius (swordfish), 157 nucleotides long. RefSeq lists it as uncharacterized. The transcript is spliced from 3 exons. NCBI's taxonomy places the organism in Eukaryota, Metazoa, Chordata, Actinopteri, Istiophoriformes, Xiphiidae. The record is from RefSeq and is a predicted model, not a curated record.
AGAAGGGCAAACCCGGUCUUCCAGGCAUCAAAGGAGACAUGGGAAUAAGAGGUCAAAAAGGUGCAAAAGGCGAACCCGGGACACGAGGAACAGUGGGCACACUGGGGAAGAUAGGGUUCAUUGGCGCUCUGGGUGCUAAAGGUCGUCCUGGCCCUGC